ACUAUUGUCACUGGUUACCGCGGCUGCUGGCACGGAGUUAGCCGGUGCUUCUUCUGCGAGUAACGUCACAGAUGUAAGGUAUUAACUUACACCCUUUCCUCCUCGCUGAAAGUGCUUUACAACCCGAAGGCCUUCUUCACACACGCGGCAUGGCUGCAUCAGGGUUUCCCCCAUUGUGCAAUAUUCCCCACUGCUGCCUCCCGUAGGAGUCUGGGCCGUGUCUCAGUCCCAGUGUGGCUGAUCAUCCUCUCAGACCAGCUAGGGAUCGUCGCCUAGGUGAGCCUUUACCUCACCUACUAGCUAAUCCCACCUGGGCUUAUCCAUCAGCGCAAGGCCCGAAGGUCCCCUGCUUUCCCCCGUAGGGCGUAUGCGGUAUUAGCAGUCGUUUCCAACUGUUAUCCCCCACAAAUGGGCAAAUUCCCAGGCAUUACUCACCCGUCCGCCGCUCGUCAUCUUCAAAAGCAAGCUUUUGAAAUGUUACCGCUCGACUUGCAUGUGUUAGGCCUGCCGCCAGCGUUCAAU
This 522-nucleotide ribosomal RNA is filed under the name uncultured bacterium. Its description in RNAcentral is "partial 16S ribosomal RNA". The record is from RNAcentral.